Long non-coding RNA from Daphnia magna, 1395 nucleotides. RefSeq lists it as uncharacterized. The transcript has 4 exons. NCBI's taxonomy places the organism in Eukaryota, Metazoa, Arthropoda, Branchiopoda, Diplostraca, Daphniidae. The record is from RefSeq and is a predicted model, not a curated record.
GGGUCUGUGUUCUGUGAGGCACUUAUGGGUGUUAUAAGCACUUAUCGCCCUUUUUUUUUUACAGCUUCCACCUGGAACGCCAAUUUCAUCUUCUACAACUUCGAAUUGGGUUCCGGUGUGAAGGUGCAAAUUUUUAUCUGAUUAGCGGCAGGAUUUGGCAAAUGGCAAAAUAUAUGCCAAAUGCAAAACAGGAGACUGUCCUGCCAAGAAAAUUCGCUACCUCGUAGGAGGUCCAACAACGUUCACUAACUUUACAAAACAUCUAAAAGGUGUUCAUUCGGAAGAAUGGAAAGCAUACGAAGCCCAACACAAGAUAAAGACUGACCCUAAGCAACAAUCUAUUAAGGAUUAUGCAACAAGCAAAGCAAUGCAGAGAUCACGACAGCUGCAACUCGAAGUUCAGUUAACAUAUUCCAUGGCUGAAGACAAUAUUUCCCUCAAUAUUCUGACAAAACCCCAAUUCAGGGAAUGGAUUCAGAAUGGAAUGGCUGGGUACAAGCUUCCUUCGACUGAGAGAAUGAGAAAUGUGAUGUUGCCUAAGCUGGUUGCUGCCACCAAACAACGGUCCCUUGAAUUGCUAAAGAGCUGCACGUCACUCAACAUCAUACUCGACAUUUGGUCUUCAAAGCAAAUGAUGGGUUACAUUGGCUUCAAGUGCUAAGCAGUAACCCAGGAUUAUGAGCUCGUGCAUGUCUUUUUAGGCAUUAAGCAUAUGCCUGGCCGCCACACCGCAGCCAACGUAUUUGCUGAGUAUGAGCAAAUAAUUGGGGAAUGGCAAAUUCCUUUUCAAUCCAUCAGUCAAGAUAAGACAGACGGCGGUUCCAAUGUGGUUGCCAACACGUUUUAUAUACCUAUUCCUGGCUGGAAAGAGUUUGAAGAUGUGAGCUGUGUUAGAGAUUAUACAGAAAACUUUGAUGACGGAUCAAUCACGUCCGCCCCAGCAGUUAGUAAUGGAAAUGGUGAUGAAGAGGACAUGGUGGAGAUAGAUAUCUCAUCAACAGAAAAAUAGGAGGAUGCUUUCUGGACUAUGCUAGCGGGAUUGGAAAUCGACGUUGUCGAGAUUAAAAUCGAAGACGACGAUGAUAGGGACGAGUUCCACGAAGUAAAAACAGACCUUUAAAGUGUCAUACCAUCUUCCAACAAUGCUUUACAGCCAGCAUACCAAGACAGAUACGUUUUGAACAUGAAAUAACGCUCUUCAUGUGUUGCCCAUUUGCUCCAACUCGUGAUUAAGACCGGACUUUCUGCUUUGCAGGGUUGAAGCGGCUUCUUCCGUAAAGAAAGCUGGGAAGAUCGUGUCCUACAUUAGGAAAAGCGUGUUGGACACGGAAAAACUUUUUAAAGCCGUUGGUUUCCGAUUGCCGAACGAAAACGCUACUAGGUGGAAUAGUCAAU